AUCCUUUUCUGGUUCAUAAGCGUGAUGAUUGGGUUCUCAAGCACUUGUGUGAUUUGUGCCUCCCUCUGAAUCUUAUUAUGAUGCGGGCACAUUACCCAUCUGACG
Molecule: small nucleolar RNA, 105 nt
Filed under: Dipodomys ordii (Ord's kangaroo rat)
Lineage: Eukaryota; Metazoa; Chordata; Mammalia; Rodentia; Heteromyidae
Description: Small nucleolar RNA U13
Rfam family: Small nucleolar RNA U13
Source: Rfam by way of RNAcentral